UGAUAUGAUGUACAUCACCCUUGUAACCAUGGAUCCUUCUCAAAGUUCCUAUUUAGAGAGAAACAAAAGCUUGAAGAUCAUGGUGCUUGAUUUGAAAUGGCACGAUUUGCAAAAUUGAGACCACCACUGGCCUACCUCAUGCUUGAGGACUUCAGAAAACAACAAAAACCAAAGUAAUUCACAUCAUAUUGCAAGAUCUAGAUCAAGAAAAAUUGAGGUUCUACCUCUAAAAUGCAGCUUCAAAC
Molecule: long non-coding RNA, 245 nt
Filed under: Lathyrus oleraceus (garden pea)
Lineage: Eukaryota; Viridiplantae; Streptophyta; Magnoliopsida; Fabales; Fabaceae
Description: Pisum sativum (pea) long non-coding RNA (PSAT_LNC018239)
Source: RNAcentral